Molecule: ribosomal RNA, 253 nt
Filed under: uncultured prokaryote
Description: partial 16S ribosomal RNA
Rfam family: Bacterial small subunit ribosomal RNA
Source: RNAcentral
UACAGAGGUCUCAAGCGUUGUUCGGAUUCAUUGGGCUUAAAGGGCGCGUAGGCGGCUUGCCAAGUCAGGGGUGAAAUCUUUCGGCUUAACCGGAAAAGUGCCUUUGAUACUGGCGAGCUAGAGGGAGGUAGGGGUGCGUGGAACUUCUGGUGGAGCGGUGAAAUGCGUAGAUAUAAGAAGGAACACCAGUGGCGAAGGCGACCACCUGGACUGAUACUGACACUGAGGUGCGAAAGCGUGGGGAUCAAACAGG